This 636-nucleotide ribosomal RNA is filed under the name Tosadendroides okamotoi. RNAcentral describes it as "eukaryotic LSU rRNA". It matches the Rfam family "Eukaryotic large subunit ribosomal RNA", at positions 670 to 1262 of the family's 3401-position model. Lineage: Eukaryota; Metazoa; Arthropoda; Insecta; Coleoptera; Pyrochroidae. The record is from RNAcentral.
GGAGUCUAGCAUGUGCGCAAGUCAUUGGGACUUGAAUAAACCUAAAGGCAUAAUGAAAGUGAAGGUCCGCCUCGCGCGGACCAAGGGAGGAUGGGUGGCAAUUACCGUUGCCGCUCCGCACUCCCGGGGCGUCUCGUUCUCAUCGCGAGAAGAGGCGCACCAAGAGCGUACACGCUGGGACCCGAAAGAUGGUGAACUAUGCCUGGUCAGGACGAAGUCAGGGGAAACCCUGAUGGAGGUCCGUAGCGAUUCUGACGUGCAAAUCGAUCGUCGGAACUGGGUAUAGGGGCGAAAGACUAAUCGAACCAUCUAGUAGCUGGUUCCCUCCGAAGUUUCCCUCAGGAUAGCUGGCGCUCGUUGCGUACGAGUUUCAUCCGGUAAAGCGAAUGAUUAGAGGCAUUGGGGUCGAAACGGCCUCAACCUAUUCUCAAACUUUAAAUGGGUGAGAUCUCCGGCUUGCUCGAACUAAUGAAGCCGCGAGACUCGAAUCAGAGUGCCAAGUGGGCCAUUUUUGGUAAGCAGAACUGGCGCUGUGGGAUGAACCAAACGCAGAGUUAAAGCGCCAAAAUCGACGCUUAUGGGAUACCAUGAAAGGCGUUGGUAACUUAAGACAUCAGGACGGUGGCCAUGGAAGUC